Molecule: ribosomal RNA, 252 nt
Filed under: uncultured bacterium
Lineage: Bacteria
Description: partial 16S ribosomal RNA
Rfam family: Bacterial small subunit ribosomal RNA
Source: RNAcentral
ACGUAGGGGGCAAGCGUUGUCCGGAUUUAUUGGGCGUAAAGGGUGCGUAGGCGGCCCUGUAAGUCAGUGCUGAAAUAUCCCGGCUUAACCGGGAGGGUGGCAUUGAUACUGCGGGGCUAGAGUACAGAUGAGGUAGGCGGAAUUGACGGUGUAGCGGUGAAAUGCUUAGAUAUCGUCAAGAACACCUAUAGCGAAGGCAGCUUACUAGGCUGUAACUGACGCUGAGGCACGAAAGUGUGGGGAUCAAACAGG